UACCGCGUGUGUGAAGAAGGCCUGAGGGUUGUAAAGCACUUUCAAUAGGGAGGAAAAAGCGUUGGUUAAUAGCUGAUGCCUUGACAUUACCUAUAGAAGAAGCACCGGCUAACUCCGUGCCAGCAGCCGCGGUAAUACGGAGGGUGCGAGCGUUAAUCGGAAUUACUGGGCGUAAAGCGUGCGUAGGCGGCUGUUUAAGUCAGAUGUGAAAGCCCCGGGCUUAACCUGGGAACGGCAUUUGAUACUGGGCAGCUAGAGUUUAGGAGAGGAGAGUGGAAUUUCCGGUGUAGCGGUGAAAUGCGUAGAGAUCGGAAGGAACACCAGUGGCGAAGGCGGCUCUCUGGCCUAAAACUGACGCUGAGGUACGAAAGCGUGGGUAGCAAACAGGAUUAGAUACCCUGGUAGUCCACGCCGUAAACGAUGUCAACUAGCCGUUGGGUCUUUAUUAAGACUUAGUGGUGCAGCUAACGCAUUAAGUUGACCGCCUGGGGAGUACGGCCGCAAGGUUAAAACUCAAAUGAAUUGACGGGGGCCCGCACAAGCGGUGGAGCAUGUGGUUUAAUUCGAUGCAACGCGAAGAACCUUACCUACCCUUGACAUCCAGAGAAUCUGUGAGAGAU
This 620-nucleotide ribosomal RNA is filed under the name uncultured bacterium. RNAcentral's name for it is "bacterial SSU rRNA". It matches the Rfam family "Bacterial small subunit ribosomal RNA", at positions 395 to 1007 of the family's 1533-position model. The record is from RNAcentral.